AGCGAACGUUUGCGGCGGGCCUAACACAUGCAAGUCGAACGCACUAGCAAUAGUGAGUGGCGCACGGGUGCGUAACACGUGGGUAAUCAACCCUUCAGCUUGGGAUAACGACUUGAAAGGGUUGCUAAUACCGGAUACGGCGCGGGAGGCUUCGGCUUCUCACGAGAAAGCCUCGCAAGGGGCACUGAAGGACGAGCCUGCGGCCCAUCAGCUAGUUGGUGAGGUAAGAGCUCACCAAGGCGAAGACGGGUAACUGGUCUGAGAGGAUGAUCAGCCACACUGGAACUGAGACACGGUCCAGACUCCUACGGGAGGCAGCAGCGGGGAAUAUUGCGCAAUGGGCGAAAGCCUGACGCAGCCACGCCGCGUGAGCGAUGAAGGCCU
Molecule: ribosomal RNA, 384 nt
Filed under: uncultured bacterium
Lineage: Bacteria
Description: bacterial SSU rRNA
Rfam family: Bacterial small subunit ribosomal RNA
Source: RNAcentral